This 72-nucleotide transfer RNA is filed under the name Deinococcus sp. RNAcentral describes it as "tRNA-Glu". It matches the Rfam family "tRNA". Rfam says of the family: Transfer RNA (tRNA) molecules are approximately 80 nucleotides in length. Their secondary structure includes four short double-helical elements and three loops (D, anti-codon, and T loops). Lineage: Bacteria; Thermotogati; Deinococcota; Deinococci; Deinococcales; Deinococcaceae. The record is from RNAcentral.
GCCCCCAUGGUCUAGCGGUCAGGACGCCAGCCUUUCAAGCUGGCGGCAGGGGUUCGACUCCCCUUGGGGGCA